This 2930-nucleotide ribosomal RNA is filed under the name Escherichia coli. RNAcentral's name for it is "23S ribosomal RNA". It matches the Rfam family "Bacterial large subunit ribosomal RNA". The record is from RNAcentral. Lineage: Bacteria; Pseudomonadati; Pseudomonadota; Gammaproteobacteria; Enterobacterales; Enterobacteriaceae.
GGGUUGUGAGGUUAAGCGACUAAGCGUACACGGUGGAUGCCCUGGCAGUCAGAGGCGAUGAAGGACGUGCUAAUCUGCGAUAAGCGUCGGUAAGGUGAUAUGAACCGUUAUAACCGGCGAUUUCCGAAUGGGGAAACCCAGUGUGUUUCGACACACUAUCAUUAACUGAAUCCAUAGGUUAAUGAGGCGAACCGGGGGAACUGAAACAUCUAAGUACCCCGAGGAAAAGAAAUCAACCGAGAUUCCCCCAGUAGCGGCGAGCGAACGGGGAGGAGCCCAGAGCCUGAAUCAGUGUGUGUGUUAGUGGAAGCGUCUGGAAAGGUGCGCGAUACAGGGUGACAGCCCCGUACACAAAAAUGCACAUGCUGUGAGCUCGAUGAGUAGGGCGGGACACGUGGUAUCCUGUCUGAAUAUGGGGGGACCAUCCUCCAAGGCUAAAUACUCCUGACUGACCGAUAGUGAACCAGUACCGUGAGGGAAAGGCGAAAAGAACCCCGGCGAGGGGAGUGAAAAAGAACCUGAAACCGUGUACGUACAAGCAGUGGGAGCACGCUUCGGCGUGUGACUGCGUACCUUUUGUAUAAUGGGUCAGCGACUUAUAUUCUGUAGCAAGGUUAACCGAAUAGGGGAGCCGAAGGGAAACCGAGUCUUAACUGGGCGUUAAGUUGCAGGGUAUAGACCCGAAACCCGGUGAUCUAGCCAUGGGCAGGUUGAAGGUUGGGUAACACUAACUGGAGGACCGAACCGACUAAUGUUGAAAAAUUAGCGGAUGACUUGUGGCUGGGGGUGAAAGGCCAAUCAAACCGGGAGAUAGCUGGUUCUCCCCGAAAGCUAUUUAGGUAGCGCCUCGUGAAUUCAUCUCCGGGGGUAGAGCACUGUUUCGGCAAGGGGGUCAUCCCGACUUACCAACCCGAUGCAAACUGCGAAUACCGGAGAAUGUUAUCACGGGAGACACACGGCGGGUGCUAACGUCCGUCGUGAAGAGGGAAACAACCCAGACCGCCAGCUAAGGUCCCAAAGUCAUGGUUAAGUGGGAAACGAUGUGGGAAGGCCCAGACAGCCAGGAUGUUGGCUUAGAAGCAGCCAUCAUUUAAAGAAAGCGUAAUAGCUCACUGGUCGAGUCGGCCUGCGCGGAAGAUGUAACGGGGCUAAACCAUGCACCGAAGCUGCGGCAGCGACGCUGAUGCGUUGUUGGGUAGGGGAGCGUUCUGUAAGCCUGCGAAGGUGUGCUGUGAGGCAUGCUGGAGGUAUCAGAAGUGCGAAUGCUGACAUAAGUAACGAUAAAGCGGGUGAAAAGCCCGCUCGCCGGAAGACCAAGGGUUCCUGUCCAACGUUAAUCGGGGCAGGGUGAGUCGACCCCUAAGGCGAGGCCGAAAGGCGUAGUCGAUGGGAAACAGGUUAAUAUUCCUGUACUUGGUGUUACUGCGAAGGGGGGACGGAGAAGGCUAUGUUGGCCGGGCGACGGUUGUCCCGGUUUAAGCGUGUAGGCUGGUUUUCCAGGCAAAUCCGGAAAAUCAAGGCUGAGGCGUGAUGACGAGGCACUACGGUGCUGAAGCAACAAAUGCCCUGCUUCCAGGAAAAGCCUCUAAGCAUCAGGUAACAUCAAAUCGUACCCCAAACCGACACAGGUGGUCAGGUAGAGAAUACCAAGGCGCUUGAGAGAACUCGGGUGAAGGAACUAGGCAAAAUGGUGCCGUAACUUCGGGAGAAGGCACGCUGAUAUGUAGGUGAGGUCCCUCGCGGAUGGAGCUGAAAUCAGUCGAAGAUACCAGCUGGCUGCAACUGUUUAUUAAAAACACAGCACUGUGCAAACACGAAAGUGGACGUAUACGGUGUGACGCCUGCCCGGUGCCGGAAGGUUAAUUGAUGGGGUCAGCGCAAGCGAAGCUCUUGAUCGAAGCCCCGGUAAACGGCGGCCGUAACUAUAACGGUCCUAAGGUAGCGAAAUUCCUUGUCGGGUAAGUUCCGACCUGCACGAAUGGCGUAAUGAUGGCCAGGCUGUCUCCACCCGAGACUCAGUGAAAUUGAACUCGCUGUGAAGAUGCAGUGUACCCGCGGCAAGACGGAAAGACCCCGUGAACCUUUACUAUAGCUUGACACUGAACAUUGAGCCUUGAUGUGUAGGAUAGGUGGGAGGCUUAGAAGUGUGGACGCCAGUCUGCAUGGAGCCGACCUUGAAAUACCACCCUUUAAUGUUUGAUGUUCUAACGUUGACCCGUAAUCCGGGUUGCGGACAGUGUCUGGUGGGUAGUUUGACUGGGGCGGUCUCCUCCUAAAGAGUAACGGAGGAGCACGAAGGUUGGCUAAUCCUGGUCGGACAUCAGGAGGUUAGUGCAAUGGCAUAAGCCAGCUUGACUGCGAGCGUGACGGCGCGAGCAGGUGCGAAAGCAGGUCAUAGUGAUCCGGUGGUUCUGAAUGGAAGGGCCAUCGCUCAACGGAUAAAAGGUACUCCGGGGAUAACAGGCUGAUACCGCCCAAGAGUUCAUAUCGACGGCGGUGUUUGGCACCUCGAUGUCGGCUCAUCACAUCCUGGGGCUGAAGUAGGUCCCAAGGGUAUGGCUGUUCGCCAUUUAAAGUGGUACGCGAGCUGGGUUUAGAACGUCGUGAGACAGUUCGGUCCCUAUCUGCCGUGGGCGCUGGAGAACUGAGGGGGGCUGCUCCUAGUACGAGAGGACCGGAGUGGACGCAUCACUGGUGUUCGGGUUGUCAUGCCAAUGGCACUGCCCGGUAGCUAAAUGCGGAAGAGAUAAGUGCUGAAAGCAUCUAAGCACGAAACUUGCCCCGAGAUGAGUUCUCCCUGACCCUUUAAGGGUCCUGAAGGAACGUUGAAGACGACGACGUUGAUAGGCCGGGUGUGUAAGCGCAGCGAUGCGUUGAGCUAACCGGUACUAAUGAACCGUGAGGCUUAACCUUACAACGCCGAAGCUGUU